RNAcentral lists this non-coding RNA (563 nucleotides) under Pan troglodytes (chimpanzee). The record is from RNAcentral. Lineage: Eukaryota; Metazoa; Chordata; Mammalia; Primates; Hominidae.
ACCGCAGCAGCCGGGUGUGAGGGCAGGGCUGGGUGUUCGGAGACCUUCAGAAGCCUGGUCAUGGAGGGCCUGCCCAGGGACCCCCCUGCCUCUCCCCCCAGGCCCCAUGGCGGCAGAGACUCACAGGCAAAGAACUGCCAGGGCUGGUAGGUGCGGCCGAAGUCCAUGGACCGCUCCAGCACCCAGAGGUCCGGCCGGGGUGAGUUGGCAAACUUGAUGAGGACGUAAGCCACGUGGAAGACCUGUGGGCCGAGAGGGCGUCAGGGGAGCCAGGGGCGCCUGGAUUCCCAUGCUCCCAGGGGCCUGGCUCAUUUUCUGCCCCUCAGCAGGUACGCCUGGGAACAGCUGGGUGCUGUUGGCCAGGUAGGCCUGGAAGCCUAGGGCCCCAAGGGGGAGAGUGGGGUCCCCCAGAGCUGCACAAGACCUACAGUCACCCCACUGGACUGAGCUGGACUGAGACUGCUGUGGGGUCCCCCAUGAAAAGACCACAGACCCCUCAUAGCUUCAGCCCUUGGGGGCACCAGCUGCCCAGACUCCAGACAGGGGCCCUGGACAGCUGUCCU